GGACUCGUAGCUCAGCGGGAGAGCAUUCGCUUCACACGCGAAGGGUCACAGGUUCAAUCCCUGUCGGGUCCA
Molecule: transfer RNA, 72 nt
Filed under: Asticcacaulis sp. YBE204
Lineage: Bacteria; Pseudomonadati; Pseudomonadota; Alphaproteobacteria; Caulobacterales; Caulobacteraceae
Also listed under: 1 other name
Rfam family: tRNA
About the family: Transfer RNA (tRNA) molecules are approximately 80 nucleotides in length.
Source: Rfam by way of RNAcentral